CAAAGGUGAUUUGGAUUCAGCAGAGAAGAAUAAGAACAAUAGUCACCAAUAAACAGAGUUUAUGGCUGGGUUGAAGGACAGCUGCCCACUUCCGCUACCGGCCCACCUGCAACUCAUGUAAAAUAUUGAGCACUCCGGAAUUCCCUUUCUUUAUCAUGAAAACCAGCACAGGAAUCCUCAUUAUGGCCUGUGCUCAGCUCCAAACACUCACGCUCUGGGGAGCUGACAUUAUUAUCCCACUGUGCAGAUGGACAAACUGGGGUUUGCAGGGGUCGAGUGACUGGCUGAAAGCAACGCAGCUGGUGGCAGAAAAACUCGACUCACGCCCAGGCUUUUGUGGGUGUCCUUCCCUCCCCACAGCAGUGGAGUCCCUCAGCCACCCUUGGUGUGGGCAGUUGGCGGCUCCCAUCUCAGGAGGGGUCAGUGGUCACUCUUUCUGAAGGGGACAGCAGGUCACUUCAUUCCUCCUAAGCUUGGGGUAGGGCUGAAAGCAUGGGCUUCCUCCUGACCUAAGAGGGUUCAAACGUUGAGACUUUAUUAUUUUUAAAUCUCUAUAGAAGCAGAAAUGAUUUCUUCAUUAGAGAUAACCCUGUGCUGUGGGUAGAACUGUGCCCCUCCAUAAAGGUGUGUUGAGUCCUUACCCCACAGAUGUGAAGGUGACAGGAUUUGGGAACGGGGUUGUAGCUAGGUCAGGCUGGUCUACGGUGGACCCUGACCCCGAUGACUGAGGUUCUUAUAAGAGGAGAUGACUCAGAGUCACUGUCUCACCCUCCCCAUCCUUGGUAUUAUGACUGCUGCCCACUCCCAAGUCACUGAUUGUCAAAGAGGACAGACGGCCGAGGAGCCCCUGCUCAGAACAUGAGGUGACAGGGAGGCUCAGAGAGGACAGGGAGGCUCAGAGAGGAUGCCAUCUGCUCAUUGCGGCCUCUGCCCACACCUGCUCAGAACACGAGGAGACAGGGAGGCUCAGAGAGGAGGCCGUCUGCUCACUGUGGCCUCCUUUUUGUGGCAGCAGCCCAGGGAUCAGGUGA
Molecule: long non-coding RNA, 1031 nt
Filed under: Homo sapiens (human)
Lineage: Eukaryota; Metazoa; Chordata; Mammalia; Primates; Hominidae
Description: HSALNT0253661
Source: RNAcentral